GUUGGGGACAUCCGAUCAGAUUGAUACGCUGCAGAGAAGAUUAGCAUGAUCCUUGCGCAAGGAUUACACGCACAAAUUGAGCACAAAUUGAGAAAUGG
Cucurbita maxima (winter squash) is the source of this 98-nucleotide small nuclear RNA. The record is from RefSeq and is a predicted model, not a curated record. Lineage: Eukaryota; Viridiplantae; Streptophyta; Magnoliopsida; Cucurbitales; Cucurbitaceae.